Molecule: ribosomal RNA, 426 nt
Filed under: uncultured bacterium
Lineage: Bacteria
Description: bacterial SSU rRNA
Rfam family: Bacterial small subunit ribosomal RNA
Source: RNAcentral
GCAUAACGCGAAGAACCUUACCAAGGCUUGACAUACACGAGAACACCGUAGAAAUACGGGACUCUUUGGACACUCGUGAACAGGUGGUGCAUGGUUGUCGUCAGCUCGUGUCGUGAGAUGUUGGGGUUAAGUCCCGCAACGAGCGCAACCCUCGUUCUAUGUUGCCAGCACGUUAUGGUGGGAACUCAUGGGAUACUGCCGGGGUCGAACUCGGAGGAAGGUGGGAGUGACGUCAAAUCAUCAUGCCCCUUACUGUCUUGGGUCGUUCACGCAUGCUACAAUGGCCGGUACGAAUGGGCUGCAAUACCGUGAGGUGGAGCGAAUCCCAAAAACGCCGGUACCCGCGUUCGGAUUGAGGUCUGCAACUCGACCUCAUGAAGUCGGAGUCGCUAGUAAUCGCAGAUCAGCAACGCUGCGGUGAAUACG